This 274-nucleotide ribosomal RNA is filed under the name uncultured bacterium. RNAcentral's name for it is "partial 16S ribosomal RNA". It matches the Rfam family "Bacterial small subunit ribosomal RNA", at positions 523 to 796 of the family's 1533-position model. The record is from RNAcentral.
AUACGGGGGGGACGAGCGUUGUUCGGAUUUACUGGGCGUAAAGGGCGCGUAGGCGGACCUUCAAGUCGGAAGUGAAAACCGUUGGCUUAACCAGCGGCCUGCUUUCGAUACUGUCGGUCUUGAGUGCAGGAGAGGAAAGCGGAAUUCCAGGUGUAGCGGUGAAAUGCGUAGAUAUCUGGAAGAACACCGGUAGCGAAGGCGGCUCUCUGGCCUGUUACUGACGCUAAAGCGCGAAGGCUAGGGUAGCAAACAGGAUUAGAAACCCCAGUAGUCC